UACGUAGGGACCAAGCGUUGUCCGGAAUUAUUGGGCGUAAAGAGCUCGUAGGCGGUCUGUCGCGUCGGUUGUGAAAACCUGGGGCUCAACUCCAGGCCUGCAAUCGAUACGGGCAGACUAGAGUUCGGUAGGGGAGACUGGAAUUCCUGGUGUAGCGGUGAAAUGCGCAGAUAUCAGGAGGAACACCGGUGGCGAAGGCGGGUCUCUGGGCCGAAACUGACGCUGAGGAGCGAAAGCGUGGGGAGCGAACAGG
RNAcentral lists this ribosomal RNA (253 nucleotides) under uncultured bacterium. RNAcentral describes it as "partial 16S ribosomal RNA". It matches the Rfam family "Bacterial small subunit ribosomal RNA", at positions 524 to 776 of the family's 1533-position model. The record is from RNAcentral.